GGUUUUUCGUUGGUGUAUGAAUAAUCAGGCCUGCCCACUGAAGUAAUUUGAAGGGCUGCAGUAUAUUAACUGUACAAAGGUAGCAUAAUCAUUAGUCUUUUAAUUGAGGACUGGAAUGAAAGGUUUGACAGGUUUUAACUGUCUCUUGGAUAGUAAUUGAAGUUUUAUUCUUGUGAAAAAGCACGAGUGGACUAAAGGGACGAGAAGACCCUAUUAAACUUUUUUUGGUUUUGAUUAUCUUUGGAUGUAUGAAAAAUGUAGUCAAAUUAAAUUUUACUGGGGCGGUAAGUUAUAAACGUUAUUUUUAUGUAAUAUUUUAUUUAGCUGAUUGAUAGAUCCAAAUGGUUGAUAAAGAGAAAUAGUUACUAUAGGGAUAACAGCGUAAUAUUUUUUAAGAGUUCAUAUUGACAAAGGUGUUUGCGACCUCGAUGUUGGAUUAAGAAGUCUUUUAGGUGCAGGAGCCUAAUGAGAUUGUCUGUUCGACAAUUAAAUUCUU
This 496-nucleotide ribosomal RNA is filed under the name Litostrophus saraburensis. RNAcentral describes it as "partial 16S ribosomal RNA". It matches the Rfam family "Bacterial large subunit ribosomal RNA", at positions 1830 to 2597 of the family's 2925-position model. The record is from RNAcentral. Lineage: Eukaryota; Metazoa; Arthropoda; Diplopoda; Spirobolida; Pachybolidae.